GACGAACGCUGGCGGCGUGCCUAAUACAUGCAAGUCGAACGCUUCUUUCCUCCCGAGUGCUUGCACUCAAUUGGAAAGAGGAGUGGCGGACGGGUGAGUAACACGUGGGUAACCUACCCAUCAGAGGGGGAUAACACUUGGAAACAGGUGCUAAUACCGCAUAACAGUCUGUACCGCAUGGUACAGGAGUGAAAGACGCUUUCGGGUGUCACUGAUGGAUGGACCCGCGGUGCAUUAGCUAGUUGGUGAGGUAACGGCUCACCAAGGCCACGAUGCAUAGCCGACCUGAGAGGGUGAUCGGCCACACUGGGACUGAGACACGGCCCAGACUCCUACGGGAGGCAGCAGUAGGGAAUCUUCGGCAAUGGACGAAAGUCUGACCGAGCAACGCCGCGUGAGUGAAGAAGGUUUUCGGAUCGUAAAACUCUGUUGUUAGAGAAGAACAAGGAUGAGAGUAACUGUUCAUCCCUUGACGGUAUCUAACCAGAAAGCCACGGCUAACUACGUGCCAGCCGCCGCAGUAACAC
This 527-nucleotide ribosomal RNA is filed under the name uncultured bacterium. Its description in RNAcentral is "bacterial SSU rRNA". It matches the Rfam family "Bacterial small subunit ribosomal RNA", at positions 28 to 526 of the family's 1533-position model. The record is from RNAcentral.